RNAcentral lists this long non-coding RNA (329 nucleotides) under Ananas comosus (pineapple). Its description in RNAcentral is "long non-coding RNA (ACOM_LNC040533)". Lineage: Eukaryota; Viridiplantae; Streptophyta; Magnoliopsida; Poales; Bromeliaceae. The record is from RNAcentral.
AUUCAGAUGCGAAUAUAUAUUGGAUAUUAAAUUUUUAUUAUCAUAUCCAUUAAAAACUUAUUCAAAUAAAAAUAUGAUUAAAAUUUGUAUUCAAAUAUUAUUUGAAUAAUAAUAUAUAUUAAUAUGCAUAUAUCCAUAUGAACUAAAAUUAGCGUGAAAUUGAAAAAGUUUGGAACGUCGAAAGAUAAUUUUUUUAAUUAGCCGUUUAAGCAGAGUAAUAAAAAAGUCUGAAAUAUUUCAAAAGUACAUAAGCAAUUGACUUUUAAAAAGAAAAUAAUUAAAUGUGUUAUUAUAAGAAUAUUUAAUUAUUAGCUAAUGUUUAGGUUUAA